Castor canadensis (American beaver) is the source of this 906-nucleotide non-coding RNA. Lineage: Eukaryota; Metazoa; Chordata; Mammalia; Rodentia; Castoridae. The record is from the annotation of a RefSeq genome assembly.
AUGAGGUGCCUUGCUCAGUUCCUGGGGCUGCUAAUGCUCUGGAUCCCUGGGUCCACUGGAGAUAUUGAGAUGAUCCAGACACCACUCUCUCUGCUCAUUACCUCUGGAGAGCCAGCCUCCAUCUCUUGCAGGUCGAAUCAGAGCCUCCUAAAUAGUGAUGGAAAUACCUACUUGAAUUGGCUUGUACACAAGCCAGGCCAGUCUCCACAGCGCCUGAUUUAUAAGAUUUCCAACCGUGACUCUGGGAUCCCAGACAAAUUCAGUGGCAGCGGGUCAGGGACAGAUUUCACACUCAAAAUCAGUAGCGUGGAGGUUGAGGAUGUUGGAGUUUAUUACUGUAUGCAGGGCACUUUGUGGUGGACGUUCGGCCAAGGGACCAAGGUGGAAAUCAAACGGACUGCGGCUAAGCCAACUGUCUCCAUCUUCCAACCAUCUCCUGAGGAACUGAAGUCUGGAAGUGCCUCACUUGUGUGCUUUGUGAAUAACUUCUACCCCAAAGAAAUUGAUAUCAAGUGGAAGGUAGAUGGCGUUGAAAAGAAAGAUGGCUUCCUAAAUAGUUUCACAGAUCAGGACACCAAGGACAGCACCUACAGCCUCAGCAGCAUCCUGUCACUGACCCAGGGAGAGUACGACAGUCAUAACAUCUUUGUCUGUGAGGUCAGCCAUGAGAGCCUAACUUCGCCCAUUGUCAAGAGUGUCAGUAAGAAUGAGUGUUAGAGCCAGAGGCCUGCCAGGCACCAGCACCUGCUCCUCAGGCCAAGCUUUGACCCUCAUCAAACCUUUUCCCUUUUCCCACAAAGGACCUAUCCCUGUUGCAUCCCUGAAUCCCUUUCCCCACCUCAUCCCCUUCCCUGCCCUGGCUUUAAUCCUGCUAAUAUUUGAAGAGAACAAUGAAUAAAGUGAAUC